GUUUUUAUAGUUGAAUAACAACAUCAGUUUUUCGUAUUGAAGGUUCUGGUUAUCCAGAUAAUAAUU
Molecule: transfer RNA, 66 nt
Filed under: Brookesia superciliaris
Lineage: Eukaryota; Metazoa; Chordata; Lepidosauria; Squamata; Chamaeleonidae
Description: tRNA-Glu
Source: RNAcentral